RNAcentral lists this transfer RNA (69 nucleotides) under Omegophora armilla (ringed toadfish). Its description in RNAcentral is "tRNA-Ala". It matches the Rfam family "tRNA". Rfam says of the family: Transfer RNA (tRNA) molecules are approximately 80 nucleotides in length. Their secondary structure includes four short double-helical elements and three loops (D, anti-codon, and T loops). The record is from RNAcentral. Lineage: Eukaryota; Metazoa; Chordata; Actinopteri; Tetraodontiformes; Tetraodontidae.
AAGGCUUUAGCUUAAUUAAAGUGUCUGUUUUGCAUACAGGAGAUGUGGGAUAGUACCCUGCAAGUCUUA